Molecule: ribosomal RNA, 301 nt
Filed under: uncultured bacterium
Lineage: Bacteria
Description: partial 16S ribosomal RNA
Rfam family: Bacterial small subunit ribosomal RNA
Source: RNAcentral
CAGUAGCCGCGGUAAUACGUAGGUGGCAAGCGUUGUCCGGAAUUAUUGGGCGUAAAGGGCUCGCAGGCGGUUUCUUAAGUCUGAUGUGAAGGCCCCCGGCUCAACCGGGGAGGGUCAUUGGAAACUGGGAAACUUGAGUGCAGAAGAGGAGAGUGGAAUUCCACGUGUAGCGGUGAAAUGCGUAGAGAUGUGGAGGAACACCAGUGGCGAAGGCGACUCUCUGGUCUGUAACUGACGCUGAGGAGCGAAAGCGUGGGGAGCGAACAGGAUUAGAUACCCCUGUAGUCCCUGUCUCUUAUAC